RNAcentral lists this ribosomal RNA (467 nucleotides) under uncultured bacterium. Its description in RNAcentral is "partial 16S ribosomal RNA". It matches the Rfam family "Bacterial small subunit ribosomal RNA", at positions 28 to 506 of the family's 1533-position model. The record is from RNAcentral.
GACGAACGCUGGCGGCGUGCUUAACACAUGCAAGUCGAACGGAAAGGCCCUGCUUUUGUGGGGUGCUCGAGUGGCGAACGGGUGAGUAACACGUGAGUAACCUGCCCUUGACUUUGGGAUAACUUCAGGAAACUGGGGCUAAUACCGGAUAGGAGCUCCUGCUGCAUGGUGGGGGUUGGAAAGUUUCGGCGGUUGGGGAUGGACUCGCGGCUUAUCAGCUUGUUGGUGGGGUAGUGGCUUACCAAGGCUUUGACGGGUAGCCGGCCUGAGAGGGUGACCGGCCAAAUGGGGAAGGAGAAAGGGCCCAGACUCCAAGGGGGGGAAGGAGGGGGGAAAAUGGAAAAAGGGGCGGAAGCCGGAGGCAGCAACGCCGGGGGGGGGAUGAGGGCCUUGGGGUGGGAAACGCUUUUCGCCGGGGAAGAAGGGGGGGGGAGGGUAAGGGGUAAAAAAACACGGGCAAAAUACGU